UUACUUGAUAAGUCGCUGUGUAAGAAAAAAAAAGGAUUAAUUUAUGAUUUACAAAUUAUUUUAGAUCAAAGAUGAUUAAUUUUAUUCGUUUAGUUUUAAUAACAAUAUUUAAUGAAUGGUAUAAAAUUCAAAUAUGUACAAAUUUAAAACGGGUUAUAAAUAAUCUUCAAUCAAUUAACUCACAAAUCGACGAGUUAAUUAAAUAAAUAAUCGUGCAGAGAUAAAGUAUGCCUCCCAAUGAAUUUGAUUAAUUUUAAUUGUAAACAUUGUAAUUAAUAUAAUUUUUUAUCUUUAAUUAAAAAAAAUCCUCCCCAAUGCCUCUCACAUUACAUUAAUUUUAGUUUUGAGGUUUUAUUCAAAGUUUUUUUUUUUCCUUUUACAAUUAUUCAAAGUUGCUUAACUUCUAAAUUAUUAAUUAAAUUUUGUUAUCAUACUCUAAGGCAGAAAAUCCCACCUAAAGUAUAAUUUUUUUAACCUAAAGUAUAAUGAUUAUGUUUGCUUGUCAACAAUCAAUAACUUAAUCAAGUCGGAAACUUGGAACCGAUAGAUAUUGCAUUUGCAUAAAAAGAAAAGAGGUUUUUUUUUUUUUUUUUUUUUUUAAGGUAAAAUCCAUUAAGAGAGAGUAAACAUUGCAAGCACAAGUUAAAAGCUCAAGGUUCACCAAAUUAUUAAAAAAAAAAAAAAUUUAGCCCUAAUCAAGCAAAGGACCCCAAGACUCAAAAUCAAAACCCUAGAGCUAACAAGAGAACAGCAAAGAAAAAUUGGUAGAGUCAUCGUGCUGCCGAGUUUCAUUCGCCGUUUGGGAGAAGAUCAUCUAAGCUCUUGAAGAAGGAGCAUUAGCCCAAGCUUAAGAAGCCAUCAGCACUAAUAGAAACCAUUCUUCCAAAACCAGUAAAGGAACUCAAGAGCAAAACCACAAAUGAAUCCAUGAACUUAUGGAGAGAGUCAAUCGACAGAGCUCCAAACUUCAUCUUGACCUUAGAGGAUUAGGCAGCAUUAAAUCAUGUCAGUUAUGCAACCCUAAAAGUGUUGUCCUAAUUUUAAUUUUGAAAAUGAAUUAUAGUAUCACUCAACUAAAACUUAUUGGUUCUGUUGGUUUAAUUUUAAUUUGAAGUUUCAUACACUUACUAUUUUUUGAUUUAUGUGAAAAAAAAUUGAUGGGGUGUCAAUAUUUUAAAACCUUGUCUCAUCCAUUAUGUUGAUAUAGCCAUUAAUUUUUUUCAAAUUGUUGCACAGAAAAGCAAAGUAAAAUAUGCUUUUAGAAAUGAUUAAAGGUUAUUAUUUUAAAAUGAAUUUGAUAUAUUUUAAUUAUAAAAAUUCUAAAUAUUUAAAAAAUAUAUUUUCUAUAAAAAUAAUUUUCAAUCUUAAUUAAUACCGAAAAAAUUGAUGGUAUUUAAUUUUUUUGUUCCCCAAUUCUUUGUAGUAGUCCACAAGUGAAUGAUUGGGAAACAUAGAUGGUAUAUGUCUCUCUCACACAUCAAAGAUGGCUGUUAAAGUAGAUAAUGAAGAACUAUAGCACCAACAAGUCAAACCUAAGCAAUAAUGUCCGAAAUUCAUAUCCUCCUACUUUAGACUGUCCAAUUAAAAAAAAAACUUAGAUUUUUUUUUUUAAAGAACAAAGAAAAUUCAAAACCACCGUUGUAUCUGUAUCUCCAUAAAAUCAGAUUAGCAGAGAAAGAACACCAGCUAGCAUAUACGGCUUUGAGCUGAGAAAUCUCCUCUACAUAGAUAGGUUUCUCUGCAACAAAAAGAAGAUAUCGUAGAGGAAAGGAAGCAAUAAAAAUACAGAUUGAUCAGAUGCGACGAGUGGCGGUCGGCGGCCAGGUGAGUGUGUUCCAUGUUAUAUGCUGGUCAAGGGAGCAGUCUUUUUGCAGAUUAACCUUUCUUUCAUUGUCUGUUCGACCUGAAAUUAAUAUAUAUAGGUUUAGCACUCAGAAAAAAAAAAGGAAAACCCUAGCUAGAGCACCUAAUAAAACCUUAUCUUAAUCAGUUUUGAUUAAUUACUUUGAGUGUCCAUGAUCCGACUUCCUCUAAUUACAUCCAAAAAAUUACCAUCGUUUUGAGAAAAAGCAAAUAUAUAUGUAAGUUUCUGUGCAGCUGUAGCGAUUGGUCUUGCUCUAUCUAUACACAUUAUUUAGUUAUUCGGAUAACCAAUCUAUGCAUGAUUUGAUUUCUUUCUCUAUAUUGAAAGAUUUUUGUACACUAAUGCAUUCGAUUCUUAAUUUCUUCUAUGUAUCGACAUGUGUGUGUGCCAUCUAUCUGCAUAAGCCACUUGGAAUGUUUGUGUUGAAGGUUUAUUGAGUUGGGUUUCGAUAGAAUAUCCAUGCUGUGUUGGUCCCUGUUCAAAUCAAGUUUAGUUAUUUUUGUACAAAAAUAGGCUUAGGGCUAUGUGAUAUCCGUGCAUGUGAAAUACAAACGUAGAUAUAUUUUAAGGUCGAAUAGACAGUGGACGCUAGGUAUUGGCUAAGAGACUGCUCAUUUGACAAGGCUAUUUGCAUGGAAUUCGACUUCCCAAGGAUCCUUCCAUCGCUCUUGUUUUUGUCAGACUUGAACAAGAAGAGAAGGUAAGAAACACGUCAACUUUUCAGUGGGAAAAUACUAGGUUGCAAAACUCCAGGAAUAUAUGAAUACAUUGAGGAUCUCUCUCUCUCUCUCUCUCUCUCUCAUGAUCUUGAUUCUUGAUGCAAAAAUUUCUUCUCUCUAGCCUUCUAGAGAGAGUUUAUUUUUUAUUUAUUUAUUUAUUUUUUCAUGUCUUUCGUUUUUCUUGAGGACACAGGCCCCUUCUCUCGGCUGUCAUGUGGAGAGGGCUCCUUGAGUUUCUUGUGAUGUGGGUCUGUCGGCUGGAGCAACCAUAUUUCAACAUGGCUUUGUUCUUUUCGCGGACCGUUUGAGUUAAGGCUUGGUGGGAAGGUGAUGGGCAUAUGGGUCCGCCGCAUUGAUAUAUCAUUGGCCGAUCGAAGGAAAUAACGUAUAAACUUAAGGAUAUUAUUUAAACUUAAAUAGAUUAGUUUUAGUUCGAAUCAUUCGAAUUAUUAAUCAGGUUAAUUUUCAAAUUUUAUAUAAAAAUGGAAUGAAAUAUAAAUCAAUUAAUUGUGUUAAAAUUGUGGAUUCUAUGUAAAAUAGAACAAUUCCAAUUCUCCACAGAAGAUAAACUCUUCAUGUAUUAUAAUUCAUGUAUUAUAACACAGCAGCAUUGACCCCUUCACGUAUGAUUUAAAUACCAGGAUCACAAGUAAUUAGUCAUGCUGGGCCAUAAUCAAAAGCGUGCUCAGAGCACUGUGCUCUGAAUUAGGUCUCUAUGUGGACAGAUGAACUUUGAAGAGAGUGGCUGUGUGACCAUUGCUCGUGCAAACUCAGGGGUAGGUGGGGUGAAAUACUUUUUUUUUUUCCUUAAUUGUGCAAUCAGUUGUAUUUUUUGUCCCCUCGAGACAAAAUUCAGUUUUUUAUUAUUUUCUUUUGAAAUUUUUUGACUGAAAAUAGUGAAUGACUGUGAACAAAGUUUAGGGUUUGAAAUUGGGAUAAAUCAAUUUGAUUUGAUUCUCAUUACUAUAUAUUCUUUACUGAUUUUUUCGAUUGACUAAUGUGAGACUCCAAUUUUUUUUUUUUAAUGAGGCAUUGGCAUUUAUACAAAUUAAUAAAAAU
This is a long non-coding RNA of Hevea brasiliensis (rubber tree), 3642 nucleotides long. RefSeq lists it as uncharacterized. NCBI's taxonomy places the organism in Eukaryota, Viridiplantae, Streptophyta, Magnoliopsida, Malpighiales, Euphorbiaceae. The transcript has 2 exons. The record is from RefSeq and is a predicted model, not a curated record.